This 803-nucleotide unclassified non-coding RNA is filed under the name Hevea brasiliensis (rubber tree). The record is from RNAcentral. Lineage: Eukaryota; Viridiplantae; Streptophyta; Magnoliopsida; Malpighiales; Euphorbiaceae.
UCAAAAGGACCUUCUUUGAAUGUUGGAUUCAGUUUACCAUCAGAUUCGAAUUUGCUGAACAUAAGCUGUAAUGAUGUGAUUUGACUGGGGUCAAAAGGUGAUGCAUCUAGUACGGUUCGUGCACGGAAUAUAGGCCUCAAAGAAGAAAAGGGCAAACGGACCGAUUGCCAACCCUCGACGGUAUCGAAGAUUGCUGUAUAACCCACAGUAUCCCAAUCACUGCUAGUGCGAACAAUAAGCUUAUAACGACGGCCAUCACCUUUAAGGCGCAACUCUAAGCCAUCAUAAGCAGAAAGGUCUUCGGGUUCAGAAAAGUUCUUUGUCCUAAUACUGGCAAACCCCCCAUUAUUAGCCGUGGUAACAACACCUUUGAAAAGUCCUGUUGGUCCACCAUUCUCCCCACCAGUUAGAUCUAUCUGGAAUGUACUUUGACUCACUCCACCCAUCACAACAUCAUCCAAAGCACCCCAAGGAAGUUCUUUAAAUGAAUUACCUUCAUAUCCAAAUAGUAGUUUUCCUGUGCGAAUGCCAAGAUUUUUUUUAACAGCAUUUAUUAAAUUCUUCAUUCCAACGUACUCCACCAUUUCAGGUGAAUCACCUUUAAUAAUAUGACUCCAAGGAUAGGCAAUCAGUUGGCCACCUCGGGUUCAAAGAACUUGAUUCCCUGACUGUAUUUUUCCCUGUCAGGGGUAUCCCCUUCCUUCGGGCCAACAAUGACAGAAACAGCAUUAAUUACGCUUGUUAUCCCUUUGAAGUACUCAGGAAGCAGAGUGCUUGCUUUGGUAACAUCUCCAACAACCAGG